AUAAAAGCAUUGAAGAGGACAUGAGCUGUUGUGAUCGUUCCCAGAGAGGGAAGAUUUGCUGUGAACUUCCUAACAGAGCACAAUUGCUUACCGCCUUGGAGCUUCAGCGGUGAAUUUAAAGUAGUCGCUGACGGUACAGCCGUUAUCUGAUCAAGUGCCAUAACCUUGCACAGGUUAUGGAACAAGGGUGGAACCACGAGCUUAACACUCGUCUCUUAU
This 219-nucleotide non-coding RNA is filed under the name Sporolactobacillus laevolacticus. RNAcentral's name for it is "T-box sequence". It matches the Rfam family "T-box leader". From Rfam's summary of the family: Uncharged tRNA acts as the effector for transcription antitermination of genes in the T-box leader family. T-boxes are found upstream of many aminoacyl-tRNA synthetase genes and some amino acid biosynthetic genes usually in Gram-positive bacteria. The anticodon of a specific tRNA base pairs to a specifier sequence within the T-box motif, and the NCCA acceptor tail of the tRNA base pairs to a conserved bulge in the T-box antiterminator hairpin. The record is from RNAcentral. Lineage: Bacteria; Bacillati; Bacillota; Bacilli; Caryophanales; Sporolactobacillaceae.